RNAcentral lists this ribosomal RNA (497 nucleotides) under uncultured bacterium. RNAcentral describes it as "partial 16S ribosomal RNA". It matches the Rfam family "Bacterial small subunit ribosomal RNA", at positions 28 to 507 of the family's 1533-position model. The record is from RNAcentral.
GAUGAACGCUGGCGGCGUGCCUAAUACAUGCAAGUCGAGCGAACAGACGAGGAGCUUGCUCCUCUGACGUUAGCGGCGGACGGGUGAGUAACACGUGGAUAACCUACCUAUAAGACUGGGAUAACUUCGGGAAACCGGAGCUAAUACCGGAUAACAUGUUGAACCGCAUGGUUCAACAGUGAAAGACGGUCUUGCUGUCACUUAUAGAUGGAUCCGCGCCGCAUUAGCUAGUUGGUAAGGUAACGGCUUACCAAGGCAACGAUGCGUAGCCGACCUGAGAGGGUGAUCGGCCACACUGGAACUGAGACACGGUCCAGACUCCAACGGGAGGCAGCAGUAGGGAAUCUUCCGCAAUGGGCGAAAGCCUGACGGAGCAACGCCGCGUGAGUGAAGAAGGUCUUCGGAUCGUAAAACUCUGUUAUUAGGGAAGAACAAAUGUGUAAGUAACUAUGCACGUCUUGACGGUACCUAAUCAGAAAGCCACGGCUAACUACGUG